AUACUUACCUGGCAGGAGAGUAGGAAGGUGGUUUGCCCAAAGCGAGGCUUUUCCAUUGCACUUGAGAUAUGCAGGUCCCUGUGAUUUCUCCAAACGCAGGAAACUCAAAACAUGAUUGCAUUGUUUGUGUUGGUUGUGGACACGUUCACAUUCUCCCCUC
Nannospalax galili (Upper Galilee mountains blind mole rat) is the source of this 160-nucleotide small nuclear RNA. Its record names the gene U1. It matches the Rfam family "U1 spliceosomal RNA". Rfam says of the family: U1 is a small nuclear RNA (snRNA) component of the spliceosome (involved in pre-mRNA splicing). Its 5' end forms complementary base pairs with the 5' splice junction, thus defining the 5' donor site of an intron. The record is from Ensembl. Lineage: Eukaryota; Metazoa; Chordata; Mammalia; Rodentia; Spalacidae.